RNAcentral lists this ribosomal RNA (281 nucleotides) under uncultured prokaryote. Its description in RNAcentral is "partial 16S ribosomal RNA". It matches the Rfam family "Bacterial small subunit ribosomal RNA", at positions 505 to 785 of the family's 1533-position model. The record is from RNAcentral.
GUGCCAGCAGCCGCGGUAAUACGUAGGGGGCAAGCGUUGUCCGGAAUUAUUGGGCGUAAAGCGCGCGCAGGCGGUCUUUUAAGUCUGAUGUGAAAUCUCGUGGCUUAACCGCGAGCGGCCAUUGGAAACUGGAGGACUUGAGUACAGAAGAGGGGAGUGGAAUUCCACGUGUAGCGGUGAAAUGCGUAGAUAUGUGGAGGAACACCAGUGGCGAAGGCGACUCUCUGGUCUGUAACUGACGCUGAGGCGCGAAAGCGUGGGGAGCGAACAGGAUUAGAAAC